UUGCCUGAGCAGAGCAUAAAACAUUUAUUCCCAAAAGUGAUACUGAGAAGAUAUGAAAGCUAUGGCACUGCAAAUUUAAACUUAAGAAAAGACUGGAAAAUUGUGGGUGAGUGUAACGGACAGAAAAAAAGUUAUAAUGGACUUAACCAAUAUUUAUCAACUACCCUUACCAAAAUCUUUCAAUGUGUUGAAUGUGACAAAGCUUUUAACUAGUGUUCAAUCCUUACUCAACAUAAGAGAAUUCAUACAGGAGAGAAACCAUACAAAUGUAAGGAAUGUGGCAACGCCUUUAAUGGGUUCUCAAAUCAGUUAUUCUCUUAUUCAAAAUAAGAGAAUUCGUACUAUAGAGAAACCCUACAAAUGUGAAGAAUGUGGAAAAGCCUUUAACCAGUGCUCACACUUUUAUUGGACAUAAGAGAAUUCAUACUGGAGAGCAACCUUAAAAAUGUGAAGAAUGUGACAAAGCCUUCAACCUGGGCUCACAUCUCACUGGACACAAGAGAACUCAUACUGGAAAGAAACCCUGCACAUAUGAAGAAUGUGGCAAAAGUUUGAACUGGUUCUCAUACUUUUCUCAACAUAAGAGAAUUCAUGCUGGAGAGAAACCCUACAAUUGUGAAAAAUGUGGAAAAGCUUUUAUGCAUGGGUCAGUCCUUACUAAACAUAAGAUAAUUCAUACUGGAAAGAAAUGCUGCAAAUAUGAGGCUGGGCGUGGUGGCUCACACCUGGAAUCCCAGCACUUUAGGAGGUUGAGGUGGGUGGAUCAUGAGGUCAGGAGUUCGAGACCAUCCUGGCUAACACAGUGAGACGCCGUCUCUACUAAAAAUACAAAAAAUUAGCAAGGCGUGGUCACAGGUGCCUGUAGUCCCAGCUACUCGGGAGGCUGAGGAAGGAGAAUGGCGUGAACCUGGGAGGCGGAGCUUGCAGUAAGCCAAGAUCGCGACACUGCACUCCAGCCUGGGUGACAGAGCGAGACUCCGUCUCAAAAAAAAAAUGCUACAAAUGUGAAGAAUGUGUGGCAAAACCUUUAACCAGAGCUCAUAUCUUAUUGGACACAACGUAAUUAAUACUGGAGAAUAACCCUACAAAUGAGAAAAAUGUGGCAAAGCCUUUAACUGGUUCUCCAACCUUACUAAACAUAAGAGAAUUCACACUGGAGAGAAACCCUAGAAAUAUGAAGAAUGUGGUAAGU
RNAcentral lists this long non-coding RNA (1192 nucleotides) under Homo sapiens (human). Its description in RNAcentral is "non-protein coding lnc-ZNF680-44:1". The record is from RNAcentral. Lineage: Eukaryota; Metazoa; Chordata; Mammalia; Primates; Hominidae.